RNAcentral lists this ribosomal RNA (112 nucleotides) under Pteropus alecto (black flying fox). The record is from RNAcentral. Lineage: Eukaryota; Metazoa; Chordata; Mammalia; Chiroptera; Pteropodidae. RNAcentral also lists the same sequence under 1 other name.
GUCUACGGCCGUGCUACCCUGAAUAAGCCCAAUCCCAUCUGAUCUCGGAAGCUAAGCAAGGGCGGGCCUGGCUAGAUGGGAGACCAUCUAGGAAGACCAGGUGCUGUAGGCG